GAAACCAGGUUUCUCUUCUAAUAAAUCUUUCGCCUUUUACUAAAGAUUUCCGUGUAGAGGAACGACCAUGACUUUCAUGUGAGUUAAUAAAGCACCUUCCACUGCUU
Small nuclear RNA from Xenopus tropicalis (tropical clawed frog), 107 nucleotides. Its record names the gene U5. It matches the Rfam family "U5 spliceosomal RNA". Rfam says of the family: U5 RNA is a component of both types of known spliceosome. NCBI's taxonomy places the organism in Eukaryota, Metazoa, Chordata, Amphibia, Anura, Pipidae. The record is from Ensembl.